GGAACCAGUGGCUCUGAGCAUUCUACCUCGAUUUCCUACACUCCUCCAAGCAACUCUCUCUUCCACCUUCCAACCUCUACAAGAAAAAAAAAACAGCACGAGAAAGAUCACUCCAGCUCGUGAAAGAUCGCGGGGCAAAGCUCCACGGGCAUCCCCCGAGCUCGCACGCUCGUCGGCGGGCGCGGCGGCGGUCGAGCAUUGGUUGAUCUAUCUGACCGACCGCGCGUGGCGUUCGAUCGUCGGGAGGGGCGAU
This 253-nucleotide long non-coding RNA is filed under the name Oryza brachyantha (malo sina). RNAcentral describes it as "long non-coding RNA (OBRA_LNC001933)". Lineage: Eukaryota; Viridiplantae; Streptophyta; Magnoliopsida; Poales; Poaceae. The record is from RNAcentral.